AUUGUCUUUUCCUAUUUCUUUCUAAAGUUGAUGGUUAAGUCUUUUCAUUUGUCCUGAUUUUUUUGGUUUUCACGCAAGUUAUUCUUCUUUUCUUCCUUCUCCAUCUUCUCAGCCGCCUCCUCUACUCAGUCUGCGGUUUCUCCAUCUUCCGAUUCAACCUCCGUCACCUCCCCUCUUUCUUUUCUUCCGAUUCAGUCUGCAUAGGGAAAUAGCUCCAUAGGUGACAUGAUUUCUCCUUCUUCGAUGAAAAAUAGAAAAUCGCGACUCCUAUCAGACAUCAAAAAAAUUACUCCGGCGAAUUUACUAAAGUCGACGUCUUCACCACCCACCUGAUGGAUGAGAGGAGAUGACUUCUCCUUCGCCGAAGAAAAAAUAAAAAACGCCAACGGCGACUCCUCUGGGCAAAUAAAAGCCCCUUUAGAUGAAAGGCGGAGGAGUGACGACGGAAAAUAAGACGGAGAUCGACACGAGCGCCCCUUUCCGGUCGGUUGAAGAGGCGGUGAUGUUGUUCGGAGAGAGAGUUCUUGCUUCUGAGGUUUAUGCUAACAAGCUCAAAGAGUUUCUGAUUUUCAUGUAGUAAAGCUCAUUUAUGAGUAUCUGAAUUAGUCAUGGCAAGAAGAUCAUCAAGAAUUCAAGAAGUUGAUGAGAAAAAUGAACCGAGCUGUAUGUGGGGAUUGUUGAGCAUCCUUGAAUCAUGUCAAGGUCGUCACAGAAACAUCAUCGGUAUAAUGCAUUAUGUUUCAACACCAGAAGAAGUUAUGAGAUUGUUGAUGGUAGGUUUGGUUAUGAGUCAAAUUGUUGGUUAUAUUCGCUUAAUUCUUUUAAUGUUGUAGAAAAUUGUUGCCUUUUAAACUAUAAUGUAAUUGUUCAAAGAGUUAUCCAAAUUUAAA
Molecule: long non-coding RNA, 890 nt
Organism: Salvia miltiorrhiza (redroot sage)
Lineage: Eukaryota; Viridiplantae; Streptophyta; Magnoliopsida; Lamiales; Lamiaceae
Exons: 3
Source: RefSeq, a predicted model, not a curated record